GGUCGGGUGGAGCAAUGGUGGCUCGUCACUUUCCGGUUGAACAUCUUCCAGGUGAAGGUUGCGGGUUCGAGUCCCGUCCUGAUCG
Molecule: non-coding RNA, 85 nt
Organism: Gautieria morchelliformis
Lineage: Eukaryota; Fungi; Basidiomycota; Agaricomycetes; Gomphales; Gomphaceae
Source: the annotation of a GenBank genome assembly